GCCAGGCAUGGUGGUGCAUGCCUAUAAUCCCAGUGGCUUGGGAGGCUGAGGCAGGAGGAUCACAAGUUCAAAGCCAGCCUCAGCAAGAGUGAGGUGCUAAGCAACUCAGUGAGACCCUGUCUCUA
Molecule: small RNA, 125 nt
Filed under: Marmota monax (woodchuck)
Lineage: Eukaryota; Metazoa; Chordata; Mammalia; Rodentia; Sciuridae
Source: RNAcentral